UACGUAGGGUGCAAGCGUUGUCCGGAAUUAUUGGGCGUAAAGAGCUCGUAGGCGGUUUGUCGCGUCUGGUGUGAAAAUCCAGGGCUUAACCCUGGACCUGCAUCGGGUACGGGCAGACUAGAGUGCGGUAGGGGAGAUCGGAAUUCCUGGUGUAGCGGUGAAAUGCGCAGAUAUCAGGAAGAACACCGGUGGCGAAGGCGGCUCUCUGGGCCUUACCUGACGCUGAGGAGCGAAAGCGUGGGUAGCGAACAGG
RNAcentral lists this ribosomal RNA (253 nucleotides) under uncultured bacterium. RNAcentral describes it as "partial 16S ribosomal RNA". It matches the Rfam family "Bacterial small subunit ribosomal RNA", at positions 524 to 776 of the family's 1533-position model. The record is from RNAcentral.